GUAUAGCUGUAGUGAGGAGGUGUCUGCAGGAAACAGCAAUGUAUCCCCAAUAAUAUCACCGAAUUUCUUUGUAGCUGAUCAGAAACAAUAAAAGAUGUUUCACUUUCGGCUGAAAGACUCGGUGUUCUCCGGGGCGCUUCCUCCAGCGGCAACAUUACAUAGAAAUUCGUUCAAUAAAACGAAUCAAUAGCUCCAAUUACUUCUGAUUCAGAUGAAGGGACCGUAUCACAAAUAGGUUGAUCACCGCGAGAUGCACGAUCAUCUAUCUAUUUGGGAAACAACUCUCAGAUUCGUUAUCAAAUGCUGAUGGAUCACCAACCAUAGAAUGGCUGUUAUUCUACAAAAGAGAUAGAAGACAACGCGAGCAGAAGCCGACACAACAAUACGUGUAACGAGGAUACUGCACAAAGCCUUUGCAUCGGUCAAGAUGGAUUUCAUCAUUUCAGGUCCUUCAGUGCGUGAUCGUUUACCCUGUAAUCGAAAAAAGAAAAUAAAACACACGUGUCGUUAUUCUCUAUCGUGAGAGGUGGCAAUUA
This is a long non-coding RNA of Aedes aegypti (yellow fever mosquito), 536 nucleotides long. RefSeq lists it as uncharacterized. Lineage: Eukaryota; Metazoa; Arthropoda; Insecta; Diptera; Culicidae. The record is from RefSeq and is a predicted model, not a curated record. The transcript is spliced from 3 exons.